This 250-nucleotide ribosomal RNA is filed under the name uncultured bacterium. RNAcentral's name for it is "partial 16S ribosomal RNA". It matches the Rfam family "Bacterial small subunit ribosomal RNA", at positions 524 to 772 of the family's 1533-position model. The record is from RNAcentral.
UACGGAGGGUGCAAGCGUUAUCCGGAUUUAUUGGGUUUAAAGGGUGCGUAGGCGGCUUUAUAAGUCGGGGGUUAAAGGUAGUCGCUUAACGAUUUUACAUGCCCUCGAUACUGUAAGGCUUGAGUGAUUUGGAGGUAGCUAGAAUUCCCUGUGUAGCGGUGAAAUGCAUAGAUACGGGGAGGAAUACCGAUUGCGAAGGCAUGUUACUACGAAUUAACUGACGCUGAUGCACGAAAGCGUGGGGAUCAAA